UGCUGCUGAAAGAUGCAGUUCUUCGAUUACAGUUUCCUUUCCCAGCAAUCCUUGAUGUUUGAUCUCUAUUUGUUUUCCGUUGACGAACUGAUUGUUAUUUUAUGAUGUGAAAUAAGUGGUCGGUUAUGGAAAGUAGUGAAUCCGGCACGUCGAUAGAAGGGCAGGCAAUGUGAGGUUUGGAGCACACUUUUUAGGAACGUGAGCAAGAACGACAUUUUCAGUGCAAAAAAUCAACGAAAUCUUUUAUACGAAGUUGUUUACGGCGCAACAACGAUUAGUACGAGAACCUGUAUUUUGCCAAGAUGUUGAAUUAAUAACAUCAUGUAAAGUGGUGAGCAACGUUCACGAAAUCAUUCGUGCGGUAGUGUAUAUACUCGUGAAGUUUGUGAUUGUGAUCAAUAGCGUCCACGAAGACGAGUGAGAACUUUAUAAAUUGUGGUGCAGAAAAUGUACUGAAUACACAAUGUUCUAGAAUAUUCAUAUUGUUUGGCGGCAGAACAAAAGAUGAAUACAUAAUUUAAUGGUG
Molecule: long non-coding RNA, 526 nt
Organism: Anopheles coustani
Lineage: Eukaryota; Metazoa; Arthropoda; Insecta; Diptera; Culicidae
Exons: 4
Source: RefSeq, a predicted model, not a curated record